This 550-nucleotide small RNA is filed under the name Pan troglodytes (chimpanzee). RNAcentral's name for it is "retained intron". The record is from RNAcentral. Lineage: Eukaryota; Metazoa; Chordata; Mammalia; Primates; Hominidae.
GCACAAUGUCCUAACCGAAAUCCACAAAUAUGUAGUAGCCUUCCCAUUAGUCAAUACAGACAUGACAAUCCUCUAUUGGCUCAGUGCAAUCUAGUGCCUGUUUUUCUUACGUCCUCCAAUGAACCCAUUUGUUUCUCUUUUUUUUUUUUUUUUCAGUCUGGUUAUGAAGGUCGAGUCCCACUGAAGAGCGCUCGUCUGUUUUACGACAUCAGCGAAAAGGCUCGAAGGAUUGUAGAAUCUUAUUUUAUGCUGAACUCAACUCUGUAUUUUUCCUAUACACACAUGGUCUGCCGAACAGCCCUGUCUGGUCAGCAGGAUAGAAGAAAUGACCUCAGUCAUCCCAUCCAUGCUGACAACUGUUUGUUGGAUCCAGAGGCCAACGAAUGCUGGAAGGAGCCUCCUGCUUACACAUUUCGAGACUAUAGUGCUCUCCUAUAUAUGAAUGAUGACUUUGAAGGAGGAGAAUUCAUAUUCACAGAGAUGGAUGCUAAGACUGUGACUGCCUCUAUAAAACCAAAAUGUGGGCGCAUGAUCAGCUUCUCAUCUGGAG